GGCAAAUCCGUUUCCCAUAAGGCUGAGCUGUGAUGGCGAGCGAAAUAUAGUAGCGAAGUUCCUGAUUCCACACUGCCAAGAAAAGCCUCUAGCGAGGUGAGAGGUGCCCGUACCGCAAACCGACACAGGUAGGCGAGGAGAGAAUCCUAAGGUGAUCGAGAGAACUCUCGUUAAGGAACUCGGCAAAAUGACCCCGUAACUUCGGGAGAAGGGGUGCUCUGUUAGGGUGCAAGCCCGAGAGAGCCGCAGUGAAUAGGCCCAGGCGACUGUUUAGCAAAAACACAGGUCUCUGCGAAGCCGUAAGGCGAAGUAUAGGGGCUGACGCCUGCCCGGUGCUGGAAGGUUAAGAGGAGCGCUUAGCGUAAGCGAAGGUGCGAAUUGAAGCCCCAGUAAACGGCGGCCGUAACUAUAACGGUCCUAAGGUAGCGAAAUUCCUUGUCGGGUAAGUUCCGACCUGCACGAAUGGCGUAAUGAUGGCCAGGCUGUCUCCACCCGAGACUCAGUGAAAUUGAACUCGCUGUGAAGAUGCAGUGUACCCGCGGCAAGACGGAAAGACCCCGUGAACCUUUACUAUAGCUUGACACUGAACAUUGAGCCUUGAUGUGUAGGAUAGGUGGGAGGCUUAGAAGUGUGGACGCCAGUCUGCAUGGAGCCGACCUUGAAAUACCACCCUUUAAUGUUUGAUGUUCUAACGUUGACCCGUAAUCCGGGUUGCGGACAGUGUCUGGUGGGUAGUUUGACUGGGGCGGUCUCCUCCUAAAGAGUAACGGAGGAGCACGAAGGUUGGCUAAUCCUGGUCGGACAUCAGGAGGUUAGUGCAAUGGCAUAAGCCAGCUUGACUGCGAGCGUGACGGCGCGAGCAGGUGCGAAAGCAGGUCAUAGUGAUCCGGUGGUUCUGAAUGGAAGGGCCAUCGCUCAACGGAUAAAAGGUACUCCGGGGAUAACAGGCUGAUACCGCCCAAGAGUUCAUAUCGACGGCGGUGUUUGGCACCUCGAUGUCGGCUCAUCACAUCCUGGGGCUGAAGUAGGUCCCAAGGGUAUGGCUGUUCGCCAUUUAAAGUGGUACGCGAGCUGGGUUUAGAACGUCGUGAGACAGUUCGGUCCCUAUCCUCUGCGCGCGCAGGAGACUUGAGAAGGCCUGUCCCUAGUACGAGAGGACCGGGACGGACGAACCUCUGGUGUGCCAGUUGUCCCGCCAGGGGCAUGGCUGGUUGGCUACGUUCGGAAGGGAUAACCGCUGAAAGCAUCUAAGCGGGAAGCCUGUUCCAAGAUGAGGUUUCUCACCCCCUCGAGGGGGUAAGGCCCCCGGCAGACCACCGGGUUGAUAGGCCGGAACUGGAAGCACAGCAAUGUGUGGAGGUGACCGGUACUAAUAGGCCGAGGACUUACCACG
RNAcentral lists this ribosomal RNA (1393 nucleotides) under Rhodococcus rhodochrous. Its description in RNAcentral is "bacterial LSU rRNA". It matches the Rfam family "Bacterial large subunit ribosomal RNA", at positions 1535 to 2925 of the family's 2925-position model. The record is from RNAcentral. Lineage: Bacteria; Bacillati; Actinomycetota; Actinomycetes; Mycobacteriales; Nocardiaceae.